GACAGAGGGUGCAAACGUUGCUCGGAAUCACUGGGCGUAAAGGGCGUGUAGGCGGGAAGAUAAGUCGGGCGUGAAAUCCCUAGGCUCAACCUAGGAACUGCACUCGAAACUGUUUUUCUUGAGUGCCGGAGAGGAAAGCGGAAUUCCUGGUGUAGAGGUGAAAUUCGUAGAUAUCAGGAGGAACACCAGUGGCGAAGGCGGCUUUCUGGACGGUAACUGACGCUGAGACGCGAAAGCGUGGGGAGCAAACAGG
Molecule: ribosomal RNA, 253 nt
Filed under: uncultured bacterium
Lineage: Bacteria
Description: partial 16S ribosomal RNA
Rfam family: Bacterial small subunit ribosomal RNA
Source: RNAcentral